RNAcentral lists this ribosomal RNA (497 nucleotides) under uncultured bacterium. Its description in RNAcentral is "partial 16S ribosomal RNA". It matches the Rfam family "Bacterial small subunit ribosomal RNA", at positions 28 to 507 of the family's 1533-position model. The record is from RNAcentral.
GAUGAACGCUGGCGGCGUGCCUAAUACAUGCAAGUCGAGCGAACAGACGAGGAGCUUGCUCCUCUGACGUUAGCGGCGGACGGGUGAGUAACACGUGGAUAACCUACCUAUAAGACUGGGAUAACUUCGGGAAACCGGAGCUAAUACCGGAUAAUAUAUUGAACCGCAUGGUUCAAUAGUGAAAGACGGUUUUGCUGUCACUUAUAGAUGGAUCCGCGCCGCAUUAGCUAGUUGGUAAGGUAACGGCUUACCAAGCCAACGAUGCGUAGCCGACCUGAGAGGGUGACCGCCCACACUGGACCUGAGACACGGUCCAGACUCCUACGGGAGGCAGCAGUAGGGAAUCUUCCGCAAUGGGCGAAAGCCUGACGGAGCAACGCCGCGUGAGUGAUGAAGGUCUUCGGAUCGUAAAACUCUGUUAUUAGGGAAGAACAAAUGUGUAAGUAACUAUGCACGUCUUGACGGUACCUAAUCAGAAAGCCACGGCUAACUACGUG